AAGCCAUGAUGAGGACAUUUUCUUAGGAGGUCCUUGAAUCUUUCAUAUGCCUCAAAGAGUGUUUUAGAAUCUCCCAGCCUGAAGGCCGAAAUUUCUUACCUCAGUCU
This is a small nucleolar RNA of Dioscorea cayenensis subsp. rotundata (Guinea yam), 107 nucleotides long. NCBI's taxonomy places the organism in Eukaryota, Viridiplantae, Streptophyta, Magnoliopsida, Dioscoreales, Dioscoreaceae. The record is from RefSeq and is a predicted model, not a curated record.